AGUGAACGCUGGCGGUAUGCCUAACACAUGCAAGUCGAACGGCAGCACAGUAAGAGCUUGCUCUUACGGGUGGCGAGUGGCGGACGGGUGAGGAAUACAUCGGAAUCUACUUUUUCGUGGGGGAUAACGUAGGGAAACUUACGCUAAUACCGCAUACGACCUACGGGUGAAAGCAGUGGAUCUUCGGACCUUGCGCGAUUGAUUGAGCCGAUGUCGGAUUAGCUAGUUGGCGGGGUAAAGGCCCACCAAGGCGACGAUCCGUAGCUGGUCUGAGAGGAUGAUCAGCCACACUGGAACUGAGACACGGUCCAGACUCCUACGGGAGGCAGCAGUGGGGAAUAUUGGACAAUGGGCGCAAGCCUGAUCCAGCAAUACCGCGUGGGUGAAGAAGGCCUUCGGGUUUUAAAGCCCUUUUGUUGGGAAAGAAAAGCAGCAGGUUAAUACCCCGCUGUUCUGACGGUACCCAAAGAAUAAGCAACGGCUAACUUCGUG
RNAcentral lists this ribosomal RNA (492 nucleotides) under uncultured bacterium. RNAcentral's name for it is "partial 16S ribosomal RNA". It matches the Rfam family "Bacterial small subunit ribosomal RNA", at positions 29 to 507 of the family's 1533-position model. The record is from RNAcentral.